This 1278-nucleotide long non-coding RNA is filed under the name Monodelphis domestica (gray short-tailed opossum). RNAcentral's name for it is "lncRNA (ENSMODG00000045766.1)". Lineage: Eukaryota; Metazoa; Chordata; Mammalia; Didelphimorphia; Didelphidae. The record is from RNAcentral.
GCAAUCUGAAAAGGUUCAGCAGAAAGAUAUAAAUAUCACCUCUAGCCUGACUUUUUUUCUGUCUGAAGACUGUAGGAUCCAGUAUGAAGUUCUCAAGUGGCCUACUCUUCCUCCUGGUACUUCUCACCUUCAGCAUGGAGCAGCAACAAGCCAGAGAGAUCAAACGAUCAAUAAUUUUGGAUGCUUGUGCAUACAUGUGUGAAAAGGACUGGGACUGUGAGGCUGGAGAACACUGUAUCAAGAAUGGAUGUAACCAGGUCUGCUCAGAUUAUGUUUAGGUAAGAGGAGCAAAUCUUAUUCCCUGCCUCCAGUUCAUUCCAGAAAAGUCAUGCUGUUGACUCAACCAAUUUUCCUGUUUGGUUUGGUUUUUGGUUAACCAAUGAGGAACAAACACCUACCUGUAUCUCUGUGCAUCUCCAUCUUGGGGAUCACUCCCCGCACACCCCACCUCUACUGCCUUUCCCAAGGGCAAUACUAACAUUAAAGGGAAAACUUGACUUUUGCAACAUUCCUUUAAUCUCCUCAUCUUUGCUCUUUCAAGUGAUCAGGAAAUUCAAAUCUUAACUCAGAAAACAAAAACAAAACCAAGUAUAUCAAAUAGCCAAACUGCUUCUUUCCUCCUAAUGUAUUUUAUCUUAGCCAUUUUAUCCAAGCACUUCUGUAGAUAUGGAAGGAGCCUUAGAAGUCAUUUCAUCAAAUCCCUUCAUUUUACAGAUGAGGAAAUGGACCCCAGAAACAGGAAGGGGUUUGCUCCAGGUCCAGCUUACUAAGUGGCAGAGCCCAGGAGGAGGCAAUGUGAUGAUCAAUGGCUCUGGAGUCAGAGAAUAGGGGUUCAAAUCCUCUCUAAUGCUUUUUGCUUCUGUGACCUGGCAAGUCACUGAAGGCUUUAUAUUCCUCAUCUGUAAAAUGAAAGGCUUGGAUUGGAUGACUUUUAAGGUCUUUUCUAACCCUAGAUCUAUGGUCUAAACAAUUUGAACUAAGGUACCUGGUACUUAAAUUCCAUGAUCUUGUCAGGCAGAAAUCCUAACUGACAAUGAGGUUGGUUACUUAACUAGCUCUGUGGCCCUGAUCUGGCUGGUUAUCCUCACUAAAACUCCAGCUUCUUCAUCUGUAAAAUGGGGAAAAUAAUAAUUAUGGUACCAACCUCACAGGGUGUCUGAAAUUCAAAUGAGCUCAAGUUUGUAAAUCUUAGGGAGCUAUAUGAAUACCAGUUAUUUUUAUAGUCUCCUACUGCUUUCCUUUAUAGGUAUGAUCUACUUUAGCACAUUUUCAUUUUAU